AACGAACGCUGGCGGCAGGCCUAACACAUGCAAGUCGAACGCCCUAGCAAUAGGGAGUGGCGCACGGGUGCGUAACGCGUGGGAAUAUGCCCUUCACUGCGGAAUAACGUUUGGAAACGAACGCUAAUACCGCAUAAUGACUCCGGUCCAAAGAUUUAUCGGUGAAGGAUUAGCCCGCGUUAGAUUAGCUAGUUGGUGAGGUAAUGGCUCACCAAGGCGACGAUCUAUAGCUGGUCUGAGAGGAUGAUCAGCCACACUGGGACUGAGACACGGCCCAGACUCCUACGGGAGGCAGCAGUGAGGAAUAUUGGACAAUGGGCGCAAGCCUGAUCCAGCCAUGCCGCGUGAGUGAAGAAGGCCUUCGGGUGUAAAGCUCUUUCAGAUGUGAAGAUAAUGACGGUAGCAUCAGAAGAAGCCCCGGCUAAAUUCGUGCCAGCAGCCGCGGUAAU
Molecule: ribosomal RNA, 449 nt
Filed under: uncultured bacterium
Lineage: Bacteria
Description: bacterial SSU rRNA
Rfam family: Bacterial small subunit ribosomal RNA
Source: RNAcentral